RNAcentral lists this unclassified non-coding RNA (222 nucleotides) under rhizosphere metagenome. RNAcentral describes it as "partial ribosomal RNA internal transcribed spacer region". The record is from RNAcentral.
GUAGGUGAACCUGCGGAAGGAUCAUUACAGAGUUCAUGCCCUUCGGGGUAGACCUCCACCCUUGCAUACCUUACCUUUGUUGCUUUGGCGGUCCGUUUCACCUUGCGUGAGACCACUGGUCUUGGCCAGUGCGUGACCGUCAGAGGUUCUCAACUCUAUAAUUUAUGUCGUCUGAGUACUAUAAAAUAGUUAAAACUUUCAACAACGGAUCUCUUGGUUCUG